This 224-nucleotide long non-coding RNA is filed under the name Lathyrus oleraceus (garden pea). RNAcentral describes it as "Pisum sativum (pea) long non-coding RNA (PSAT_LNC003585)". The record is from RNAcentral. Lineage: Eukaryota; Viridiplantae; Streptophyta; Magnoliopsida; Fabales; Fabaceae.
AGGAACUGGGGUUUUAUUUGCAAAUAUUUGAAGACCAUGGAUUAUGGACGAAGGAAUACUAAGAAGUACAGUUUCAGAUGUCCCGAUUUGAAAGAGUUAAGAAAGUUAUCAUCUUUUGUAUUAAGUCCCUUGGACUUCAAACAAUGUCAUGGGAAGCUUCUAUCUGUAUUAUCUGCCGAUGUAAUGGAAGGACUCUUGAGUGUUUUGGUUCAGUUUUAUGAUCC